Molecule: long non-coding RNA, 1995 nt
Organism: Anas platyrhynchos (mallard)
Lineage: Eukaryota; Metazoa; Chordata; Aves; Anseriformes; Anatidae
Source: RefSeq, a predicted model, not a curated record
CGCAGGGAACUCCCCGGGGAGCCGGCCCCAUGCGGGCAGCGCGGAGCCUCCCCGCGCGGCCGCCCGCCUCCCCUUCCCCUCACGCCCCCCCCCUCCCACAGCCGUUACACGGCCGUUAUUCCAACGGCCGCCCCCUCCCCACACACACACGCAGCCCCCCGGGGCCGGUUAACGGCCGGCGGGGCUCGCGCCCACGGGGCCGCCCGCAGCCAAUCAGCGGCCGCGACGUCACGCGGGGAGGGGCGGGGCCGCGCCGGGUCGGGCCGGGGCCGCGCUCCCGCCGCAGCCGGGGGCAGAGCGGCCGUGAGGGGAAUCCCCGCGGCGGGGCGGGGCGGGGCGGGGCCGCGCCUCAUCCUGGCGGGGCACCGCGGCCGGGCCGGUAGCAACGGCGGGUAACUCGGUUGUUUUUACCCACUUCUGUAUUUCAGAGCAGGCUGAAUGUGAAAAUCUCCAGUGCUGAGCAGAGACUCAGCCGGGUGACCCCUCGUGCGCUUCUGAUCCGAGAUAAAUGAGCCCUGUGAGAGCUGCAAGAUCCCCUCUGGCCAUGUUUGUUACAAGGUUCUGAAAGACCCUUACUUUUAGACCUGAGAGCCCUUCGUUCAACACUCUUCUCAAAUAGGCGACUCUCCGUCUUCUGUCAUCUUCCAGUUCAAAGAAAGCUCAGGUGCUGUCGUGUAUAGAGAAUUUCCCAUAUGGACUGGGGAGAGACAGAGGGGCUCACCAGUGACACCUCGAAAAUGGGGGAAAGGGAGAACAUCUUGCCUCCUCAAAGUGGCAGAGGACGCUUUGAGUAAGAAAAAUUACAUUGAAUUGGAGCCGCCUAGAAUUUGGCUGCAUUAACCCAUCUCCUUUAUUCUUCUGGCACCUGCCCUGGGAGCCUUCCCAACCGCACUGGUCGCCCUCUUGGUUUUACAUCUCAGGAGGCUUCCCACAGGCUGGUGCCCCGAGCACCCUGCAGUAACCUUCGCUCACAACUGAUUCAGAGGGAAGUGUGCCACCUACUGAAGGACCUCGGCCACUUUCUAUAUGCCUUGGACGUGCUUUAGUUUCUUUCCUCAACUUUCCAGGUCUUCACACCAGGGUUUUUAAUUAGGAAUUAGUUAUUAGGAGUUAGGCUUAUGAAAGUUAGUAAACUCAGCAAUUGGAAGGUCAUGAAGGUGAACGUGAGGAAAUGCGAUCCAGGCUAGUUCCAUCUAAUCCAUGCGUAAGCACUGUAACUUGAGAUCAAAAUAAAUCCUCUGUCUGAAAGCAACUGUGUUACCCCUACACUGCCACUGUUGCCAAAAGUCAGAUGAAUAUCAAGAAUUGAGGCUAUAACUUCAAGAAAGCUUAGAUUUUAGGGGUAAUCAGUACAACCAAUGGAUGUGUUGGUUACACUGACAUCAUGGUAUUUGCUGUUUAAGUAGCAGCAAGGUGUUUUUUUUUUAACAAAUGAGUGAACAACUUCCUUCACUGUCAGACAGCAGUUCCCUUUGAUAGCACACUCUCUUGAGUUAAUCAUUCGGUUGAACAAGCUCAAAAGAAACUUCAGAGAGUCGUUGCCAUAACUUGUUUGACACACCUACACGGUGUCCUUUGGUUACCCAUGUCUCAUGUUAUGAAGUUCUUCCUACAGGGGAAUGCAUCACUUUUGGAGUAUAACUGAAAUAUCAACAAAGUUGAAACAUUGGCCAGCAUUGUUUCCACUAGAAAUCCAUGUUGUAAUAGCAGAUGAUAAAUAAAUAUUUUAACAAGAUAAUGGCUUUCACUAAAAUCCGUGGGACUAGUGACUGAAAAACUGGUUAUGAGAGCCUUUCAUAUCAGAGUCUGAUUUAAAUUCUUCUCGCGUACAUUAUAGUAGAUGAUCAAAAUAACUACAAUUCUGAUUCACUGAAACUAACAUAUAAUAUGUGUCUUUGAAGCUUAUCACACUUCUGUAUUGGGCGUAUUUAUUCCUGAGAAAUCUUGUUCUGUUUCCACUGGAAAGCAAAAAUGAAAUAAAAUGUUUUAAAGUAA